This 53-nucleotide transfer RNA is filed under the name Panthera pardus (leopard). Its description in RNAcentral is "tRNA-Ala". The record is from RNAcentral. Lineage: Eukaryota; Metazoa; Chordata; Mammalia; Carnivora; Felidae.
AAGGGCUUAGCUUAAUUAAAGUGUUUGAUUUGCAAUCAAUUGAUGUGAGAUAG